This 6553-nucleotide long non-coding RNA is filed under the name Homo sapiens (human). RNAcentral's name for it is "non-protein coding lnc-SNX10-2:26". Lineage: Eukaryota; Metazoa; Chordata; Mammalia; Primates; Hominidae. The record is from RNAcentral.
AUCGCCGCUUUGCCCCGCGACCGCGCGCGCCUCCUCGUCCUCCCCCGCGCCUUUGUUUCCGUCUCCUUCUCCUUUCCCUCCUCUUUUGUGUCGGGCCAGACUCAGCCCCAGAAACCAGCCACCCUGCCGCGUCCGACUGCCAGGGAUCCCUCACGCCGCGAGUACCAGAGAUGUCUCCAAGAGCACCAGCAACCCCAGCUAUCUGGAUCUGAAGUGGAUAUGCUCAGAGACAUCCUGGCCCACCCCAAAGAAGAUGCUGCUGCACUCAGAAGACGCCAGAGCUAGCCACCACCCACACUGCAAGUCUGGAAGCUCUGCAAGGACCCAGCAAGGCAGCCUGCUCAGCGAAGGCUUUGUCUCCUGUGGCAGGAAGAGCAACAUUAAGAACAAGAACCCCGGGCUGGACUACCCCUGAGAUUUAAUGACCAGAGCUGAGACCCCCAAGACCACAAUGACUAUGGAGGGCUGUCAUUACCCUGCCUGACCCUCUAAUGCCUCUCAGUUCAAGGAGGCCACUGAGUGAAACUGAAGGCUGGUUUUCCUUGGAAGCCAGCGGCCCAUCCACCUGCUCCACUUCCCUGCCUCUUGCAGCCUCCGCUCAAACACUGUCGUGGCUUGGCAGCACUACAAGGCAGAGUGAAAACAGAUACUUCUACCCACAUUCCUAUCUCCUCUCAUUUACGCAGAUUAAAUGCUUUCUUUCCUUGUUUUACACUGCUAGGAUUUUCAUCACCCUGUUUUUUCUUUCUCUACAUCAGCUACAAGAAAAAAAAAAGGAGUUACUGAGCAACUAAGAAGUCACAACUGUUUUCAGUUUUAUUAAUGAGUUGUUAUACUUAUUUUAUAGAUAGAGAAUUACCAUUAUAACAUUGCUCCAUUGCCCACUCAUCCAUUCACGCAUCUGUCCAUCCGUCCAUCCACCCAUUUGUCCACUCCCCAAAUGGUCAUCAAUUGUCUACUGUGAGCCAAGCAAAGUGCUCCUUACUUUGGACUCUGAAUCCAGUGCUCUUUCUACUUCACCAUAGACACAUGCCCCUUGAGUAUAAGGGAGCUUGAUUCAUUCAACAAAUAUCUGUUGUCCAUCUCCAAUGUACUGGCAUAUUCUAAAUGCAUCCAACAAAAACCAAAAUGAAAAAAAAGAAAAACCCAUUCCUUCAAGGGGAUUGCAUUCGGACUGGGGGAGACAGAUAAAAUAAAAAUAAUGAAGUCAAAUAUAUAUGUUAGUGACAUGUGCCAUGAAGAAUAAUGCCCAAUAGUAUUUCAGGGGCUGCCAAGCUGCUCUCCUGUUUCCUCUUCCUUGGGGCUGAUUGCAUCCCAUGAUGUGCCCAGGUUUUGAGAUGCUCCUCGUGAAUGAAAAUAGGACUGUCUGGUUCCUCCAUCCAUAGCAAGGGAGCCUAGACAGAAAUAACUUCUGUGCAUUUCUCCAGCUACAUUUAGGGAAAACUAGAAAAUACAGAAAUAUAUCAAGAAGAAAAAAAAUUUAAAAAUGACCCAAAAUCCCACCAACCAGAGACAGCUAUUAAUGAUUGUGGUAUAUUUAUUGAAUUUACUAAAGUCAUGCUAUACGCUAGGCACUGUGGAGGGACUGCAGAAAGACUUCAAGGACUGCACCGUCUUGUUAGAAAGAUGCCUAGACAACAUUUGAGAAACGCUGAUCAUGUCUGAUGACACAUAACUGCUAACAGUUACAUGGAAUUUUCUAUAUGCUAUAUACAAACAUACAAAUAUAUGUAUGUAUAUUUACUCAGCUCUCACAACAGCUACUACUGUUAUUAUGAAUCCUGUUUUAUAGUGAGAAAACUGAAACAUGGAGAGGUUAAGUAAUUUGCCCAAGAUCACAUAGCUACUAAGUGGUGGAACUGUGAUUAGAAUCCAGGCAUUCAGGCUCCAGAGUUCAUACUCUUCACAUACCACAUCUAUCUUGAAUAUAACAAUGUAGAGAAAAAGAAUUAUAGCAAGCAUAUGUCUAGGUAAGCAUUUUCCAGAAGUGACUGUUUUUUUGCAUUGGGUUUGUAAACUUUCAACAAUAAAGCAGGUUGGACUUUAUAUCAGUCAAAGCAGAAUAUUCUGAUGUCACCUUCCCCAAUGUUUAGGAUGUUAAUGAGAAUUGCUAAUCCAAGAGAAGAAAAUAAUCUCAUCUAAUUUGGGUAAGUCAAUUAUUUGAAAGUAGAAGAACCACCCUUCCACCUCUCUUGUUCUAAGGAACCUCUGGGGGAAGUACUGGAAAAAUAAUGCUUUCUAAUAAGCCCAAUAGGGCUUUUGAUUUGUAAUAACUAUUUUAAUAAGUAUCAGUUCAAUUCCUAUUAUUUUUAAGAAGUUCAUUGAAUGAAUUAAAGAACAAAUGAAUGAGCAAUGCUUUAGGCUAUAGGCUUUCAGAGGACGUAAUUCUAUGAAACAGACUCAGUGGUAUGCUGGCACCAGCUCCUACUUGCGUCUCUUUUCAACUUUGUGUUCAGUGACUUUGCCUUGGUAGCUUGACAUCAGCCAUGGUGGGAAUAUUUAAACUAAAUAACUGAGAAAAUGAUUCAUAUUAGAGAGCUUUCUUUUUUCCCGGGAACUAAGUGUUAAACAUUUACCAGCACACCACUGCCUAGACUUGUUAGGAAAUUCACAAGUGAGAAGAAAUUCUGUGAUUCCAGGAGAUGAAAGAGGGAAGUGUAAUGAGAAUAUCAACUUGAGUAUUUUAUCCGUUGCUUUCUUUAAUUGGGUCAUUUCAGAGGGUGGGUAGAUUUUGUUAAGACAGUUGAAAUAUUUAGGUAGGUAGAGGGGUGAGUGCAGUUGAAGAGUAAAGGCUGUUUGGGGCAGACAAAAGAAUGAUAGCACUCUUUCAAGUGCUCUGCCACCAGCAGUAAAAGUCGGGAGAAGGACCUAGCACCAGGACACGUGAUCUGUCCGGCGUAAGCGAGUGCUGAGUCAAAGGCCUGCAAUUCAGGCCCCUGCUCUGGGGCACGGUCAGUUUCAGCCAGGCCCAACUCUCUUUCCCAGGUCCAUGGCGUGGAUGGCACCCAGAAUCCAGCAGGGGAGUGCUGGUGGAUACACCUGGGAGGGCCUGGUGGAGGAUCAUUUGCGUGCAGAAAUAAGGAAAUAGACAUAUUUGAGCUGGAAGAAAAUCUUACAUGUCUGAUCCAAUUCUCUCAUUUCACAGAUAAGGAAAAGGGGCCCCAAAGAGUGAAGAGGGGAUGUCCUGAGGUCAUGAGGCUGGCUUACAGCAAGGAUCUGGACCAGACAGCAGGGUGGGACCCUCAGCUGUCCCCAUACUUGCUGCUUGAUAUUGGAUAGGUUAUUUAGGCUCUAUGUGUUUUCUCAUAAACACAUAGAGGUUAGGUAAAAAUGGUGGUGUGAGAAUGAACUAAUACAUGUAAAGAGCUUGCAUGUAGUAAGCUCUCAAUAAAUAUUAAUAAUACUGGGCACAGUGGCUCACACCUGUAAUCCCAGCACUUUGAGAGGCCAAGGCGGGUGGAUCCCUUGAGGUCAGGAGUUUGAGAACGCCCUGACAAACAUGGUGAAACCCCAUCUCUACUAAAAAUACAAAAAAUUAGCCAGGCAUGGUGGUGGGUGCCUGUAAUCCCAGCUGCUCGGGAGGCUGAGGCAAGAGAAUCACUUGAACCUGAGAGGUGGAGGUUGCUUUGAGCCCAGAUCAUGCCACUGCACUCCAGCCUAGGUGACAGAACCAGACUUCAUCUCAAAAAAAAAAAAAUUAAUAAUAUAGAGCCCUUGUGUUGACACUAUUCUCUUUUACAGCCAGAAAGAGAGAAAGAUUACAGAAAAUAAAAAUAUAUUAAUAUAUUAAAGGCAUAAUACUGUGAAUUAAUACUGAUUAAUUCAAUAUACUAUUAUAUCAAAAACCAGGAUACUAAUAAUAAAUAAUAUAUGGAAAACCACCAUACACAUUGGUAAAACAUUAACAUUUUCAAAUCUCCAAUCCAAGAAUUUUCCCCAAAUCCAGAUUGUGCAGGUAUUUUAGUGAAUGAUUCACCCUACAGAAUUACUUAUUACAUUUUUCUUUAAACUUCAAUGGAUUUGUAGCUGAAUGAGGGAUCAGGUAAUCACCAGACAUCUUGGAAGGGCACAUGAUCCCUCAGGCCUUUUCUUGGAGAAUGUUUAAAGAAACCUCUUCCUUCCCAUUAGGGAGGCCGACCAUGAGUCCCUUUGUGUUGACAGUGAAGGUGUCUGGGGCUACACCUCUUUCACAUGCUCUGCCACCAGCAGUAAAAGUCAGAAGGCCCUGGCACAGGGCACACCUGAUCUGUUCGGCAUAAGUGCUGAGUCAAAAGCCUGCAAUUAAGGCCAGUGGCUGGGAGGAGGCCUGGUCCCAGCCUCUCCUUGAUUUGCCUCACCCCACCCAAACACAGGUCAUGUUCAUCAUCUGCUAGCCAGCAAGGAAGAUGUGUGGGGUACAGGUUACAGGGACUGAGCCCGGAGCCUGACUUUCUGGGCUCUACCACUCGUUGUCUUCAUUUCCAAAGGCAAAGCACUUGACCUCUCUGAGCCUCCAUUUCUCAUCCAUAAAAUGGGGAUGAUGAUAAAAGUGACUGCUUCAUAGGAUUGUUGAGAGGAUCAACUCAAGUAAUAUGUGAAAAGUGGCACAUAAUAAGUACUCUGUUUCAUGUUUCUAAUUAAUUUUAUUUUUUUUAGGUUUUUUACUGUGGUAAAAUAUAUGUAACAUAAAAUUUACUAUUUUACUAUUUUUAAGUGUAAGUGGCGUUGAAUACAUUGUGGCAUUGAAUACAUUCACACUGUCAUGCAACCAUCAACACCAUCCACCUCCAGCCUUCUUCGUCAUCCCAAACUGAAACUCUACUCAUUAAACAAUAACUCCUCAUUCCCGCUUCCCCUUAGCCUCUGGGAACCAUUGUUCUUUGCCCAUUUUUAAAUGGAGGUUGUUGCUGGGUUGUGGGAGUUCUUUAUUCUGGAUAUUAAUCCUUUACCAAAUAGAUAAUUUGAUUUUUUUUCCUAUUCUGUGUGUUGCCUUGACUAUGUCCUUUCAUGCACAAAAUAUUUUAAUUUUGAUGAAGUCUAGUUUACCUAUUUUUUCUUGUAUUGCCUGUGUUUUGGUGUUAAUUCCAAGAAAUCAUUGCAAAAUUCAAUGUCAUGAAAUUUUGCCCCUUUCUUCUAAGAGUUUUAUAGUUUUAGCUCUUAUGUUUAGGUCAUUGAUGACUUUGAGUUAAUUUUUGUUUAUGAUGUAAGGUAAUGGUACAACUUCAUCCUUUUGCAUGUGGAUAUCCAGUUUUCCCAGCACUAUUUAUUGAAAAAAAGACUGUCUUUUCUCCAUUGAGUGGUCUUGGCAUCCUAGUUGAAAAUCAUUUGACCCUAUAUAUUAAGGUUUAUUUCUGAUUUCAUUGGUCUAUGAGUCUGUCUUUAUGCCAGGACCACUCUGUUUUGAUUACGGUAGCUUUAUAGCAAGUUUUGAAAUCAGGAAGUGUGAGACCUUCAACUUUGUUCUUCAUUUUUCUGGAUGUUUUGGCUAUUCUGGGCCCCUUGAGAUUUGAGAAAGAGUUCCCUCUACUGGCAGAUCUAAGACAGUCUGUUGACUCAGGUACCUGAUAAUUUUUGAAGAUGCAUUUAAGAAGUUAAACUAUUGAGAAUAAAAAAAUCUUAGCUAGGCUUUAUUUUAUUUUUCUGAUCGGUUAGAGACUCUUGGAGACUUCUCUUUCUUCUCAAUCAAUUUGACUGAGGUAUAAUUAAAAAAAAAUAAAACAUACUGAUAUGGCUUGGCUGUGUCCCCACCCAAAAUCUCAUCUUGAAUUAUAAUCCCCAUAAUCAUCAUAAUCCCCACGUGUCAAGAGAGAGACCAGGUGGAAGUAAUUGAAUCAUGGGGGCAGUUUCCCCGAUGUUGUUCUCGUGAUAGUGAGUGAGUUCUCACGAGAUCUGAUGGUUUAUGUGUUUACUAGUUCUUCCUGCGUUAAUUUUCCUUCCUGCCACCAUGUGAAGAAGGGGUCUUGCUUCCCCUUCGCUUUCUUACACGAUUGAAAGUUUCCUGAGGCCUCCCCAGUCCUGCGGAACUGUGAGUCAAUUAAACCUCUUUCCUUUAUAAAUUACCCAGUCUCGGACAGUUCUUUAUAGCAGUAUGAAAACAGACUAAUGCAUAUACAGACACAUACACCUAAGUAACCAUCACUAUCGCAAUCAGGAUAUCAAAUAUUUCUAUCAACCCAAAAAGUUCCUUUGUGAUUUUUGUAGUCAGUCCCCACUCUUGAUUCCCCAUGCCCCAGGCAACCACAGGUCUGCUCCCCGUCAUAUAGACGAGUGUUGUCUGUGUUCAGAUUUCAAAUACAUGGAAUUGCACAAUAUAUGCUCCUAUGUCUAAAUUUUUUUCACUUAGCAUAAUGUUUUCGAAAUUCAUUCAUGUUGUAUUUAUCAGUAGUUUUUAGCAUUGUAUCGCACUGUGGUAUUUCAUUGUAUAUAUCAUCAUUUGUUUAUCCAUUGACCAGUUGAACAUUUGGGCUAUUUCCAGUUUGGGGCUGUUUUGAAUAAAGGUGCCAAGUUCAAGUCUUAUUUGCAGACAUAUGUUUUCAUUUCUCCUGAAUAAAUACCUGCAAGUGGAAUUUCUGGA